This 1284-nucleotide long non-coding RNA is filed under the name Mus musculus (house mouse). RNAcentral's name for it is "long non-coding RNA chr15:87836663-87837947". Lineage: Eukaryota; Metazoa; Chordata; Mammalia; Rodentia; Muridae. The record is from RNAcentral.
AACCAACCACCAGGGCUGGGAACAUGUCUGUUUAAAAUGCUUACCAUGCACAUAUGGAGCCUAAGUUUGACACCUGCAAACAGUGUUCAAGGAAAAGCUAGACAUGGUGGUUUCAACACUGGGAAUGCAUAGACAACCAGAUCCCUGGGACUCACUGGCCAGCCUUGUCUACUCUGAGUUACGGGUCAAUGAGAGACUCUGUCUCCAAGACCCAAGGCAGACAGCACCUAAGCAAAGCACCUCAGGUUGUUCUUGGCCUCACACACAUUCACACAUGUGUGCACCCACCCACCCACCUCCACACCACACCACACCACACACACACACACACACACACACCAAAAACCAAAAACAAGUACUAUCUACUAUCAUCCCACAUACAUGCUUAAGGCCCAUGAGGCCACCCAGAUCCCCUUUAGUGUUGCCCCACUGUGAAUGGCCUGUUUUAGCUCAGAUUCCCCUGAAGCAGUGGCUCUUCUGGCUAAGCAGGGCAGGAAGUCCCUUCCCUGACACGCUGCAAACAGCUACCAUAGCCAUUGGCCCCUUGCAGAACAUGUGAAUAGAGGCAUUCACUUCCCUGCCUGUUUUUGGUCCUUGGCACACUCUCGGGCAAAAUGGGAGAUUUGGGUGUACAGAGAGGCACUGACUAGAGAUGGGUGAGUGUGGCUGUGUGGGAGAUAGGUGAUCUGGCUUUGAUAUUGUGGAAUUCUGUUCUCUGGGCAUGACUUGGUCUUUUGUUUUCUAGAAAAAUCAAAGCAACUAUAUCAACUGCAUGAGACCCUCAGGAGAUCGGACCUAUAAAUGUACCUUCCCAAGAGUUGGAUGGUCCUAAUCCCCUUACCUGAAAUUCCAGGCACAAGCUCCCUCCAGCCAUCUCUCCUGGAGUGUUAGGGUAUACAGGAGAUGGAAGACACCAAUGAUGCAGUUUUCCUGAGUCAUCACCCAUUCUGGAGUGUGACUCUUAGGUGAAGUCAUUAACUUCAAUGCCCAUGUUCCUGGAUGGAACGCCUGACUCACAUUCCUCCACAUCACUCCAAUAAACUCACUGUUUCACAUGCUGGACCUGGAUGGAAUCAUUUACAUAGCAUUUUUGUUGUUGUUGUUCUCUCUGGGGUGAAACAGACUCCCCAGGAAAUGUUAAGCAACAGAUGUGGUCAGGCCUCUCAUGACCAGGGCACUUGAGAAAGACGGAUGCUUCGGGCUCUGGAGGGACUGCUUGUCACCAGAACACAUGGGGGAGGGUUUACAGAGGAUCAGCUCUGUGACACUAAUGAAGGCCAAGUG